AAAUGUGUGUCAGGAGGAAUAUUUUAUUUAGGCAGAUUUUUCUUUUCAUUCAGAUCUCAGUGAGAUGAGCAGUGACACUGAGGGCUGCAGCCUGCACGCAUGUGGGGUAUUCUUAUGACUGGAUGACUUUAAAAAAGUAUGUUCAAAUCAUGGCCCAUUUUCUUUAACAACCUUACAGUUUUAGAAACUUAUGGCUCACAUUCUUAAGAGUCCAAACAGUACCUCUGUAGAACUGUUCUGACAUAGGAAAUAAAACCACAGACUUCUUUCAUUUGGUAUGUGCUGUUGAAUAAGGAUAUAAGAUCCCAAAGAUGAACAUUUGCCACCUCCUCAUCCCUGCCUCCACCUUCCGUCCCCAGUAGGUUCCUCUUUCAUUGGAUUUAUUCACAUAUUUUGCCUCUUGAAGUUAAUAAGCAUAAUCUUUUCUUUAAGUAAAAUUCAGGAUUUAUUUUGCACUUACUAUGCACUAGGCACAGGUGUAUACUAGGACUGAAUGAGAUACAAGGUCUGUUCGCUGCCCAUGGAGAACUGUAAUCUCUCACUGAAGACCUCAGACACAUGCACAGACUUGAGUAGCGCUGAGGACAGACAGAGGGUUUGGCUGUUGUCAUCAGAUAAUGCUACAUGAAGAAGGUGGGACUUGAAUUGGCCCUGCCAGGUAGAGGGGGCCCAGCUUCCCAGCUGGAGGAGGCAGGUAAUCUGCCUGGUGGGAAGGGGGUGGGCCAAAGAAUGGAAGCAGGGAAGGGCAGGGUUUGGGGCAGCUGCAAAUCCCUGGAUUUCUGUGAAACUUUCUCAUCCGAUCUCCUGCCCACUCUGUCCCUAAGAAAAGUCCCUACUGCCAGCCAAGCCCACGUGAUUCUCUUAGAGACUCAUGAGGCCUUAAUGAGACGCACCACCUACUGUUCAUGAAAAGAAUCAGUGGCAUUUGUGGGUCGAGGAAGGUUCACUUUGAACACAGCCACAUGGACCUGGAAGGGAACCAGCCUGCCAUCACCUUAUUGAAUGUGGACUCCAUAUGAGCAGCAUUUGUAAAGGAUGAAAACCCCAAAUGUUUUUUCCCUCCCUUAAUAAGGUCAGCUCCACUUACGGUCAGAGUGUGAAAGGCAGGCAUUUCCCAUCAACGUUCACGGUCAAUCUUUGGACAGAUACAGGAGCAGGAUGACUUAACGAGGGGCACAAAGGGGCCGAUCACCUGGGCGUACAGGUCACCAGCCCAGUCAGAGCUCUGGGAGACACGUGAGUCCCUUCAUCUGCAAGCAGGGACUUCUGUGUUUAUCCAGCUAGCUCUUCACCCUCGUGUGUUAACCCAAAUUUCUGGAAGUAAUCACAGCCAACCCUCCUUGCUUCUAAUGGGAUGUAGCAGUGACAUGAAACAUGAGGGGAAGAAAAAAAAAGCCGAAGUGUGGAUGACGUUUACGUAAACCACAGACUUACCUUCUUAAUCAUUGCAACACUUUAAUAAUGAAAUUAGCUCACACUUUACUAAACAUUGACUUGUGGCAAGAGAUCUAUUUUGCUUUCAAAAGAGCAGAUAACAUGGUGUCAAGAAAUACUUUUUGAAUUUGGAUCCUGUUACUUUUGCGUUUUCCUUCCAUUCUUCCACAUGCCAGAGACAGUUUGCUGGUGAUGUCUCCAGAAGCACCUGCAGGUGAGGUUUGGAGAGUGAGGACAGGAGGAGAAGUCAGAGCUCGUCAUGUUGGUAAAGAGACGUGAAAGCCAGGAGUCCUGGACAUCCUGUCACAUGCUUGUUUCUGUUUCCAGGAAAGCAGAGUGAACAGGGGCUUUCAGAGCCGAGGCAGGUGAGCGUGACAGGAGGCGGGGUAGCUCAGCAGGUCUGGGGACCGCAAGUGUCUGUCGGGCGCCUGCGGGAGUCUGAGCCCCUCCACGACCUUGGAGUGGCCUUUGCCUCACACAUGUGGCUACUGAGUCACAGAAGGAAAAGCGUUCUGUGAUUGUUACUUGUUUCUCGCUUGACAUGUAAACAUCACUCUAUUUUUUUCUUUUUUGUUGACAAUGUUGUCUUUGUGCAACAAGAAAUGACAGUUAAGUCUUAGGAUGAGAAAGUCACGUUUGGGCAAUGUCUCCUCCCGGCCGUUCUCCUGAGAAACUCCAUCUGCGUGUCACAGCACCUCCACUCUUUACGCCACACAGGUGCCGUGGGUACCUGCUGGUUGAAAGCUCUCUUCCAUGACUGGAUUCUCUUGUCCACAAUAGCAGCGUUGGCGCGUACUGCCCUGUGACUUCUGGCAUUCCCGGUGGAAAGGAAGCAGAGGUGCCAAGUUACAGCAGAGCCUGCUCGGUUCGGCCUUCACCAGUGAAGCAUCACUCACGGUUUCCCUUCCUCCCGUUACCGUUCCUUCCCCUGGUUCCAUCCCCUUUCGUAUCCAGCAGCGUCAGCCAACCUUCCUCUUCUCAUUCUGGGAAAGUAAGUGUAAAGGAAGACGGGACACACAGCAGGUGCUGAGGGGCCAGGGUGGAGGCUCCCCAGGAAGCUUGGCCAAAUGUGUUCCUGAAGCAAGAACUUCCAACCGCUCCCUCCGAUAGGGGUGUGAGGGUAAUCCAACAGCAUAGCACUUGCAUUUUUACCAGGCCUCCCCCCAGAGAUCAAUUAACAAGAUCCCAGGUGAAGCACAUGCAUCCUGAAGUUUCACAAAUACUAUUUUAACUCAGUAGACAGGGGUCUGCAAACUACAUGUCACAGGCCAACUCUAGCCAGUGGCCUAUUUUUGUAAAUCAAGUUCCAGUGGAACUUGGCCAUACUCAUUUGCUUAUGAACUGUUUUCACACCUCCACGGAAAUGCUGAGUAGUUACAUCAGACACCACAUAGCUGCAAAGACUGAAGUAUUUACUCUCUAGCCCUUUACAGAAAAAGUUUUUUGGUCCCUAUACUAGAACUUAAGACUCCUUAAAAGUGAGAAUCUGGCCUUAUUUUGCUUUGUAAGGCACAAAGGCAGCUUGCACAGCAGUUAUGCAGGUGGGCUGACCUGGCAGCUUGCACAGUGGUUAAGCAGGUGGGCUGACCUGGGUGACCAACAUGAUUUGCAUACAGGCUUUGCCACUUCCUUGUAAGUGCCUGUGGGUCCGUCACAGCCCCGCCGAGCCUUCAGUUCCCCAUCUGUUAAAUGGGGAUACGUAAUAGACUCCUCCUUAAGAGGCUGACAUGUGGAUUAAAGAGAAACAUACGGCGCCUUAAGUGGUGCUCUCGGGAGAUGCCAACCGUCAGUCGGCACUCAGUGCUCUCAGAGCGCCAGGGGGCACGUGUUGAAUGUUGGCAGAAAGAUGCUAUAGCAGACAGCGUCUAUCAACACCCAUUUUCUGCUUCUUCCUUGCUAACAUCUAAUUAUUUUAUUAUUUUUAUAUGUAUUUGACCUUUCCGAAAGGUGACCUCAUCUCCAGGGGUAGAUACCAUGGCAAGCCAAUGACUGACUCAGGGGCUGAGUCGUGAGAACAGAGCCUCCUCACCCUCCGAGAAACAUGGAGGAGGUGCCCGUUCCUUCACAGAUGCCACGUCUGGGACGACCCCGGGCACCGCAGAGCAUGAAGGCCGAGGAAACUUAGGCAAAACUCCACCAGGCCAGAUGGACUCCCGAAGAAGCCGGAGGUACUGCACCCAGCGCUGUGGACUUGUCAGAUGAGCCACCUGCACCUCCAGCCACCUGUGGCAGAGGAGAGACGACAGCUGCGAUAAAGGGCUUUUCAUUCAGCGAUCCUAAGAUGCCUGAUGAAAGGGAUCCAGUAGCAAGAAUUCCUGCUCUUGUUUAUGUGAGAGGGUCACCAGAGGGAGGUGGCUGCAGUGACCUGAACAGCUCCUCUGCAAGGGAUCACGUACCUCAAGGCCUCCUUUCCUCACCUCAAGCCACAUACACUUCUGUGACUUUUGCUAAGGUGACUGAUGUAUAUGAGGGUCUCAUCACAGGGAUUUGUGGAGAAGGGCAAGGUCUUGCAAACUGAAAUUUCUGAGGAGCCAGAACAAGACACAGUCCACUAGAAUUAGUUCUAGGUCAGCUGCUUAUUCAUAUAUGCACAUAAUAAGCUAGUCUGUCCUUAUUUCUGUUCUCUGGCACCAAUAAUGCCUGUGGCUCAAACUCUUCAAAGCUCUCUCAGCAUCCACAGAAUCCUCUGAGACUGGGCAUAUCACACACCAGCAACUCCAGGCACCUCAGACAUAUACCGUGUCUCACAGGGCAGGAGUCUGAUGGCUCUGAAUUAACAUGCAUCCAUCUGAGGGGGGAGGACUUCACGCUGCACUGUGGCAAGGACACCCUCCUUGUUCCCUUCCAUGGUGAGUUAGCAUCUCAUGUACAUGUGCUGGGUGCAAAAAAAUUUAGCAUGUGGCAAAAUGUGAAUUUACAAAUUUGUACAAAUCUGUAAGACUACAACUUAUCAAACUCUAACUAGGAAUGCUGGGAAGAAAAUCAAAGUAUAAAAAAGUAAAACUAGGCAUCUGAUGAUAAGGGUGAGUCUGUGAAUCAAAUAAAUUUGGGGGAGGGAGCUAAGAAACAGAACUAACUGACAGAGAGAACCGAGCCUGCCCGUGAGGGUCAAGUGCAGAGGAGACGGCACUGGGGAGCACACGAGCCCGAGGCCCAGAAUGGGUGCACAGGAGGCCCUGGAAGUCAGUCCCAGGAACGUAAGAAAUGAAACUUGUGCAAAGUGGCAGAAAUAAAACAAACUCCAUCCAGGUUUACAAAGAGGGACAGACUUGAGACAAUGGCUGUGUUCACUGGGAGCUGCAGAGAGCCACUUCCUUACGUUUCUCCACACCCUGUAGGUGAAGGAGACGCCACACGCUGGGGCCACAGGUGGUCACACAUUCACUGCUUUUCAGGACCCUCCUCUGGCCCAGGCCCUUGCCCCCUUCUCCCAAACAGACAGAGGCUUUCUCCUAGACCUCUGGGCUCAGCCUGUGUGAAGACCAAGCACAGCACAUUUGUUUUUGUGUUUUUCUGCUGGAGAAGCUCCUAUAGAGCUUCAUAGAGAACACAAAACAAUGAACAUUCCAGGACAUUCCAAUCUGGAAAAGAAAAAAAAUGACAAAGCCUAAGCCUGGAACAUCACCAUGGCUCUGCCUCUGCCCGCACACAUCAUGAUCUCUAAAGUCCAAGUUGUGCUUUAUUACCACACACGGCGCCUUUCUGAAAUGGCCGGAUUCAGGGAUUUGGUUUAAUUUGCCUUGCCUGACACCUGGAUAGAACCAAAUGCCAACAGAUCUCAUUAACGCUGCAGACGGGGGCUUCCUCGUCCAAUGGUCUCUUCUCUUCAUCCAGCUCCACUUCCUCUUCCUUUCACUCUAUUAUCCUUCUCUAAAGUAGCUCGGCACAGACCACCAUUUCUUCAUCUGAUGCUAUUCCCGCCUUUAGUCCUGCUCAGCUUAUUUGGAAACUGAGCUAGAGCAAGGACGACAAAGAGAGGAGGCAGAGGGGAGUCCACAGAGGCACCGAGCCCCCAGCGCGCCUCCCUCCCUCCCUUCACCCCUCUCUCCCACAUGGCGUCUUUCUGUUCUGAACACAGGAGUGGGAAGUUUCAAGAGGGAACCUCUACAGCUCUCUGUGAGCCAAUGGAACAGAAUUUAUGUGACAGAAGCCCAGUAAAUUAUAGGAGCUUCUCCAGCACCAGUUUUUGGAAUCUGCUGGUACCACUUAUUACCAGGCUAUCAGAAAUCUAAAGUUUCAAGAAUACACACACACAUAUUCUUCCCACCAUUCAUUACAAAUUACUUACAAUAAAUCAUUUACUACCUACAAAUGCUACUGUUUAUGUAACACAAGGAGCAUGAGGUAAAUAUGCUAAAAUAAAAAUAGUACUUAAUAGCCUCAAAUAACACUGGUUUUAUUUUCCAACACUAUUCCUGUUUGAUUUAGAGACAUCUCCUUCUACCAUCCUGCCUUAAUCCCAAAUAAAAGAAGAAAAAAACCCAACCCAAAUCAGGUCUGUUCUGUUGAGCCACAUCUGAAUGAUUCAGUGUCUUACUAGGGGGCCCAGAAAUAGCCAAUAAACUGCAAAACAACAGCCGUGUGUGGCCCUGGAACACUCAAGAGCUUCUCCUAUGCCAGGCAGAGAAGGAGGGUGUGGAGACCAGGGCUUGCACGACACUGGGAUUGCAUGUCUGCUCCAGGUUCAAGGGGACCUGGCCUGAAAUAGCUGCAGACAGAGGGAUGAAGGACCGGCUGAAGAGGAGACAGUGUAACAUGAGGGCUAAGAUGGUACUUCAAGGUUAGGAGAAGGUUGUUUCCCAUUAAAAUAGCAGAAUCAAAUCUCACGAGAAAGGGGAGAAGGCUUUAGAGGCCAUGUCUAAUCCAAUUAGCCAAAUCCUCUUCACUUCUUUUCUAGGACAGCUGCCGAGGCUGAAUGAGGAAGGUUUGAGAAUCAGUAUGGCUUAACGGAGGAGGAAAGAGAGGGGAGGAUAUUGAACUCAUAAAACAGAAAAUAUACAUAAGAGCAAUAAGAAUAUUCUAAACAAAAAGGUCUGGUGUGGUCUAAAUGAAAGAAAACUGCAGGCCCAUUACUUCCCCUUUGGAGCCACUGGGCUGUAACUCUGCAGACAAUCCACAGGCAGUUAACGCUCCAACAUCAUCUUAAAGUACCAGACACAGUUCAAAGGAAGCGGGAGAAGAAGAGCAAGUUAAAGCUUCUAUCAUUCUGCACAGACCUCCCAUAAACUGGAAGUCCUGGCUCAUUUUAUUAUCCCGAGAGCAGGGUUUUCAACCAUGGCACCAUUGACAUUUCAGACUGCUAAGUCUCUGUUGGAGAGGCUGGCCUGUGUGUUGUAAAAUGUUCAGCAGCACCCCUGUCCCUUCUUCUCCCAAGCUAGGUACUAGCUGCGACCAUCAAAAAUGUGCCCAAAAUCCAAAAAGGGGGGUGGGAGACUGCUGGGUUCUUACCCAGCGGGAACAAUGUGGGGGCGCAGGGCAUACUUCCUGGGUGAAGGACUCAACUACAACUCAGAAUUUACCUUACAAAUGCAAACAAUGUGGCCUAAUUCUAUGUACCCUCACAUUCAUCUGAAAAACAAAACAAAACAAAACAAAACAAAACAAACAAAACCCCAAGUGUGUUCAGACAGGGCAGCAUGUCCUGUGAGGACAAAACAGCUCCAGCUGAGAAUCCCUCAUUGCUUCAGGGGGAGGGUCUUCUGUACACAGGGGUAUCAGGCCACUUUCCCGGUGACUUUGUAUCUAGAGGUCCUGGCACAGUAUUUUUCAAACUGUGGGCUGGACAUCACUAGAGGCCAAACAAUGUGUUUUGUUGUUUGUGACAACAUUUAAGAUAGAAAAUAUGAAAGUGCACCUUGUAUUUGGGGACACUUUUGCUUCAUAUGCGUGUGUGUAUACACACAUGUAUGUACAUAUUGGACAUGUUUUUUUGUGUGUACACUCAACGUACAUGUGUGCACGUCUGGGUGCCUGUGUGUGUUCAUGUGCUUACAGUGGGCUGUAAGGUAAAAUGUAUUUCUUAGUGUGGGAUCAAUUUUUUAAAAAGCUUAUAAAACGCUGACAUAGUAUAAAGAAUCAGGAGUUCCAAGAGAAGAGGGUAAAAGCCCGAAGCACAUUUUCAGCUUCUUGGAAGCACUCCCCACCUCUACCAGCUCCAGCACCCUAUAAAAUGUUUGCAAUGGCACAAACCACACAGCACUGGUCCUGGCUUGUCCCUGUGAGUAAUGGCUCCUCCAACCAGCAGCCCCAACACAGAGGGUGGGAGAGAAAGGAGGUCUCGGGGGUGAUAGUGUGGAUUAAGGUGUUCCCAUUAAACAGGUGCUUCUGCCCAUUUCACACCUGGUAAAAGUAACACUCCUCCUCCCUUGGAUUCUCCCCCAGAGCUCCGUCUUCCUGCCACAGCCUCUUAUGUUUACUGACGGUCCCCCCUGGUUAGACGACAGCUUGAGGCUUCUCAGUCCUACAACUAGCCAGAUCCAACUUAGUCAGCUGUGUAUGAGAAAGUUCAACAUUUCUGCCCUGUGACUGUGUAUCUAGGUCACUCUCCUCCUGCCCUGUGGUGGAGAAGAAAGAGGAGGAAAUGAACUUUAAGGGCAAGAAACUUCUUUUCCCCCAAUGACUACUGUGAAAUCUAAAAUGCCUCACAGAGUCUGCACAAUAUCUGCCUUGAUUUUAGCUUUCACAUUUUAAAUCAUGAAUCCAUGUCUCUGCAACAUGUGCUUCAAAGGAAGACUUAACAGUCUCAACACCACCAUGCAAGAAUCUGAGUUCCAUACUUUUAUAUUGAGCCAUAACUGGUUUUCUUUUUGGUCAGUAGUGUACAAGUUAUAGAUAUACAAUUAAUAGGAAGGAAGAAUUAAAAGGGUUCUUAAUCGAGGAAGGAACUUGAGGAAAUCGUCUGUUGAAUGGUAGUGGUUAUUUUUCCAGUAUCACCAAUUCUGUACAUGAAAACACUGAGAACCAAAAAAGAAACACUUGAUAGCAAGUGGAGCAUAAACAGACACCUUGAGAGUUGGAAGGGAACUUCAGAGGUUACCCUCCCAAAGCAGAAGCCCGCUCUGCAAUGUCAUGUCAUGGCCAAGGGUUCUGGCCCGUGAAUCCAAAAACUUGGGCUUUUAUCUUAGUUCUGCCACCCAUUAGCAAUGUGACCUUGGGGAAGUUGCUUAAUCCAUGGAAAGGAUAAUUUUAAUUAACUAGAGAUGCUUCUGAAAUACUGGCAAUCUCAAAUCUGUCACCUUGUUAAUUCUAGUCAUUGGUCCUAGUUCAACCCUCUGGAGUUAAAAGAUAUUAUGUUAAAAUCUCUUUCCCAAAGACAAGACUUUAAACUUUUAAAUUCAUCUAUUAGUUCUUCCCUAAAUUUCUUCCAUAAGCCGACCGUGAAGUUGGGUACUAGCAGGUACUCAGCAGGUGUCUGAUGAAUGAAGGGGAGAAUGAACCCUUCUUCUUCCCGGCUCCAUCCUCUGGGCAUGUGCUGCUGUUAUUCUCUUUUAAAAUGGAGUGCCCAGAUCCAAACAGCCCUGAGAUGUGAGCUGACCAGCGCAGAAUACAGAGGAUUAAUGUGUUCCUUGAUUUAGACACUAUACUUCUAUUAAUACAGCCUAAGAUUGGGUUAGCUUUUUGGCACAAGCAUCAAAGGACUGACUCUUAUUGAGUUUGUAGUCAACAAACUCUAAGUCCACAUAUGUACAUUAAAAUAAACUCAUGUGCCCAUCUGUUAAGCCUACUCCUGCCAUUCUGUAUUUGUGCAAUUUAAAAGAAAAUCUACAUUCUGGUUUAUCAAAUUUAUUUCCACCAAAUUCUGUCUUGUUGGUUUUAGAUCACUAUUCUGACCUUUACAAUUUUUUUUUGAAUCUUAACUUCUGUCACCUAGAGUAUCAAUCAUUCCUUUAAGAUUAGAAUUACUUGAAAAUUUACUGAUGAAAAAACUGAACAGGAUAAGAUCAAUGCUCCAUCACUAGAAAGUUCCCUCCAGAUUUCAUCAGUUUAUGACAUUGAUUAAUACUCUGGGCCUAAAGAUACUCAACCAGCCAUGAAUCACUUAAAAGUACCAGAGUCCGGGCUGCACCUGUCCAUUCUGUCCAUGUGGCUAUUAUGGCAUAAGCGCGUUGAAGUCCAAAUACACUAUAACUACCCCCAAAUGCAGACCAGACGGGGUGCACGCCGGCUGCACCCUACCACUUUCUGGGGCUCCUUGUUUCCCUUCCUGACUGUUCGUAAACACCUAUUUCAUAAUCUGCUUCAGAAAUUUCCAGGGAUAAAUGUCAGGGUAAACAACCUUCAUUAAAAGGAAAGACAUCUGUGCAUCUCUAACCCAUAAGGAGAUAUGACCUUCGGUUUUAAUGUUAAAUAGCAGCCCAUUCUUUUGUUGUUGAGAUAGUAAUGAAUGCUUUUUCCAUUUAACUAGUGAAUAAUGCUACAAAUAAUUUACCUAUAUUUUCUUUGUUCUUCUUGUUUUUGACGUCUGUUUUUCAUUGAAUAUUCACCCCCCACAACUUCAGCUCCUUCUGAGUUUAAGUUUACUGGACCCUGUUUUUGUUAGUUCCAUUACUACUGUUUUAUAUUACUCAGUAUGUGGUAUGUGUCCCUCUUGCUAUUUUUUAACAUAUGUUCAUCUAGAAUCUGAUCUCAUUUAACUACACUGGUCCCAUUUGUUGCUGAUUUCUUUUUCUUCCUCACUGGAAAAAUGUUUUUAAUUUGUUUAUUCAUUUACUCAGAACAUUGGUUGAGCUUCUUGUAAAUACCAAAAGAAAAACAUUGUAAGGUUUUGAGGGUUGGGAUCUUAUAUAAUUCAUUUUAGUGUUUUCUUUAUUACUAUAACAGUGCCAGUUACACAAUAAACCAUCCUAUUGUAAAUAAAUCAAUCCUCCUAUAAAACAAUCAGGAACACUUGCUGGUGUUAAAGUUUUAAGUUCAUCUGUUAUUAUACCACAUAAGAGGAUUAGUUUGAUCUCAUUCUCUGUGAAUUCCAGUACCUCUCAGCCACCUCUGCCUUCCUUUCUCUGGCAGCUCUUUCCACAAUAUCCAGUUGUAACUUUAUCUGAAUUUGUUUCAGCCUUUUCCUCUUCACUGGGUUAACGGGUCUCCUGCUAAACACAUUCUUUUACUAUUCUGAGUUGUGCUCUCUUGUAGUCAGAAGUGAGUUAACCAUGGGAGUUAUCUUAUGCCAUAGCACAGAAAGUUUAAAAAUUUUCCCUUGGUAUUAGCUACACAGUUAGCUGAUAAAUAGUCCAUACUUUUCAUUUUCUUCCAAAGUGGAACUUAACAGAAGAAAAGAUGAAAUAUAAUCUUGGCCUCGAGUUUUCUAUUGAAGAACAGUCUUAAAAUACUAGAGACCCAGUCCAUGCUUCUUUAGGUGUCAUCGAUUUUUACAUGAAUCAAAGUAGAUAAUAAGCUAUUAUUCAGUAAGCAACAACAGAAUUUUAAUCACAACUCAGAUACACUCUUCAGGAAGAUACGUACUGUCCUAUUAGCUAAUGCUUCUCAAGCCACAAGGUAGAAACUAUAUGUAAGUCAUUCUUGAUUUUUCUUCUUCCGACUCCAAACUAACACCACACAAUCAUUUAAACCAGCGGUUCUCAGCCUGUGGGUUGUGACCCCUUUGUAACAUCCGGCAUUAGGAAGGUUGAGAACCACUGGAAGAAGUCACUAAAUCCAGCAGAUUCCUAUCUCCUCAGUAUCUCAUGAAUCUACCACACUUUCCCAUCUCUGCAGCAACAAUCUUAGUCGAGCCCUUUCUCACCUUUCAUCUCUAUAGAAUGCAACUCCUACCUAAUUUAUCCCCCUGGUUUCAACUUUGCCUCCUUCAAUUAAUCCUUCCCAGCACUAUUUAGUGAUAUUUCUAAAUUGUGAAUUUGAUCACGUUGUCACCUGUUUAUGUUUUGUAAAUUGUUUCCUACCAAAAGGAGACAAACGCUAUGCUCUUCACAUGAGCUUCACAGAACUCCGUGUGAUCUGCUCCCAUCGAACCCCUCGCUGUUCCGCAGCCAUCCUUGCACAUCAUCUGUUCCUAAUCACACUCGGCUUCUCCGAGUGCCACACACAUGCUCCACUACUCCGCUGCUCUGCCCUGACUGCUCUGUCCUCUGCUGUCUGUCAUCAGCUCCCCUCACGCUUUAAAUCUCAUGUCUGAUAUCACCUUCUGAGUAACCCUCCCUGGGCCCCUCAUAAUCGAUUACUUAGCCCAUUCUCUGAGUCACAUACAGAAUUCUUUUUAAAUUUUAUACUAGAUCUAUUUAUAUGUUUGUGCCUCUAACUGGAUAUUAAACCUCCUAUGGUAGGAAUUUUGGGUGUUUUUUGUAUUUUGAUGAUUUAAUACAGUGCCUGGUAUAGAGCUCAGAGGUGAACUAAUGCUGUGCACAGGAGACACACAGCUCAGAGUAAGCUCUGCAGAAGGCGCACGUCCAAAUACUUAAGGCAGCAAAAAAUUGUGAGCUAUUAAUUAUUCACGCUUAUGAGGAAGGACAAUGAGAGAUUAAAAAAUAGUGGACAAUACAGAAAUAUUUAGUAUUUGGCAGACUUACUUUCCUAAUAAUCU
This is a long non-coding RNA of Nycticebus coucang (slow loris), 11968 nucleotides long. RefSeq lists it as uncharacterized. Lineage: Eukaryota; Metazoa; Chordata; Mammalia; Primates; Lorisidae. The transcript is spliced from 3 exons. The record is from RefSeq and is a predicted model, not a curated record.